Molecule: non-coding RNA, 1199 nt
Organism: Meleagris gallopavo (turkey)
Lineage: Eukaryota; Metazoa; Chordata; Aves; Galliformes; Phasianidae
Source: RefSeq, a predicted model, not a curated record
AUCGCGCGCAGAACGAGGGGCGCCGGAGCAGUGACGGCGGUGCUUUAAUUUCCUCGUCAUUGGGCCGAUCUGAGGGCAGCGUCUGCAAUGAACAGUGAAUAAGAAGUGGAUUUGUGCUGCUGCUCACUGCACCCAGAGUUAGUUACCCCUACUGCAGGGCUGUGGGGAUGUCGUGCUGCUUUGGAUAGCUUUCAUCUGAAUGUGCAGUAGCAGCCACCACUUAGAGUUGACCUACUGGCCUCAGCACUUGAAGAGGUAAGUUUUCUCUUGCUAAGUCAUCCAAAAAGGUCCUGGGAAGCCUUUCAUUGCGGAGCAGUUCUUGGCCAGAAUUAUUUGACAUACAUCUCUUGAAUUAGGGAGUAUGUUUGGCAGUGUGGAUAGCCAUGCCUAAGCUAGUUAACUUGGACAACAACAGUCUAAUGAUAUGAGAAUAAAGUCUUAAGCAUGAGAUAUAAAAGCAUUCUGAAGACGUCACAUACUCAGCUGUCCAGUACAAACACAAAACAAAAUCAUGCUGUGACUGUUACCUGAGCUACCUACAUUAAACUUUGUGUAUGCUAGUUCGCAUUAGUUAUAUACAUACAGUUUCAUACGUGGCAACAGCAGUACAAAUUUACCCUUAGCUACUUUACUUUUCACAUUUCUAUUAUGAUUCAGUGUAUUUAUAGGCUAAUUACUGGGCCAAAUUCCUGUUAAAAGAACAGCUCUGUUUCAAACCGCUCUGAGGGUAGUUUUAUACAUAAACAAUAAUAAAGUAAGCUUAGGCAGAUCAAGAUUGGAACAAUGUAAGUAUAUGACAAACAAUGAAUGCUGAGCUGAGGAGACCAAUUCUGUAGUGUUACCUGUGAAGGUAGGUAUACUGUACUGUUACUGUACUUUUGAAAAAUCAGUGAUUGCCUGAAGUCUGUGGGGAAAAAAAAAAGAGGUACAGUUUUCCAAACUAGAAUAUAGGCAAAGAGGAGAAGGCAAUCACAGACAGUGCAUGCCGCCACCUAACAUAAUCUUUGAUUCAGCAAAUCUGCUGUUGCUCACCUUCUGAAUAUACAGUGUUGUGCUGAAGUCACAGUGGUGUUUCACAGACUUCUUUCUUAUUAUUAUGCUGGGUGCGUGUGAUUUUCUUUAGAUUGUGUUCCAUGAAACAGCAGCUACAUCAGCAGAUUAAAAUCUGUUUCCUACACUGCUGUCUUAAUGGUAACUUC